RNAcentral lists this long non-coding RNA (1303 nucleotides) under Durio zibethinus. Its description in RNAcentral is "long non-coding RNA (DZIB_LNC000752)". The record is from RNAcentral. Lineage: Eukaryota; Viridiplantae; Streptophyta; Magnoliopsida; Malvales; Malvaceae.
UUCGUAUCAACAAUAUAAUUAAGAGUAUGCAGUUUGCUUAUACUAAGAAACUUAAGAACAAUAGGAUUUUCAUUCACCUAAGUUUUAUACACUAAGUUCAACUUUUACUUAUAUCAUAUAUAUAUUUAUUAUAGACGUUUAAUUUUAUUUGAGAAAAAUUUGUGAGAAUUAAAAUGAGCUUUUGAAAGCCUUGGAUUCAGUUUGAGCUUAAUGAUCGGAAUAUUUUCGUAAAACUUGAUCCCCCAAUUCAAUGAAAGAAAAGAAAGACUACAUAGAACUGAAUCUUAGGAAAAUUUUUUGAGAUUUGGUAGGAUUUCAGAAAUUCCAAACAGAGAGGGAUUAAAUCCCUAUAUAAUGACCUUUGAUAUGUGAAUUAGCAAAAUGUGGGGGGCUUUAGAGAUGAAAAAAAAAAAACAAACACAAGAAUGCAAUUGUUCUAAGAAGUUUCUUGGGCGAGGGAAAUUUUCGGGUAAGCAAUACAAAAGUAAUUCCAAACAAAGACAUGGGAGGCCGGACAGCAAUCAAGAUCACAUAAAGGCCAGUGAAAAGCAAAAAAAUUUUGGCAAAAGUUUUGAAUCAUCAAGAGAGGCCAUGAGCAAUGUGGCACAUAGUUAGCAUCAAUUAAAUAUUAAAGUAUAGAAGAAACAAUUGGGAGGCUCGGCACACACAGUAAUAACAAUCAAGCAAUUGAGAUUUGAUCAAGCAAUUCAUGAUCAGAAAAGCAAAGAACAAGUUCAAUUUCCAUAAGAGAGCAAUCGAGCAUACACAGAAGGAAUUUAGCCUACAAUCAAGAGUAACCAAGCAAUAAAAACAAUAAGCAAUCAACGGUAGUGCCAAGCCAAGAAUUAAGAGAAAUUCCAAGCAAAAGGAAUUUGGCUUUCAAGUUCAAUUAUCCAAUAGCCCAGACAUACAAAAAAUUCAACCAAAAAUUGAACCCAAAGUCAGAAAAUCAAGCAACCACAACAAACGCAGAACCUGAACCCAAAAACCACAACUCAUAGCUCAGCACAGCAAUCACCAUAGGCAAAAAGUAAAAAUUACAAAUUUUCACAAGGCAUUUUUGUGGGUUUUGGUUUGAUUCUUUUUGGGGAAUUUUUGGGUAUUAAGUUGAGACAAGGAAAAAGGAGGAAGGACGUGCAAUUGACGGUGGUCACUGGCAAGAUCGUCAAUCGAUGGUGGUGACGAUCGGUGGAAACUACGGUAAGCUUCAUCUAGGUCUGGGAUUGGGCAGUCUGGGUUGAAUAACCUUUGAGAGAAGCUUAGAGAAUUUGAGAAAUUAAACAGAGAGCUAAAGAAGAAAGUG